GCUAGCGUUGCUCGGAAUCACUGGGCGUAAAGCGCCCGUAGGCGGUCUCUUCAGUCGGUGGUGAAAUCCUGGAGCUCAACUCCAGAACUGCCUUCGAUACUGGCGAUCUCGAGUUCGGGAGAGGUGAGUGGAACUGCGAGUGUAGAGGUGAAAUUCGUAGAUAUUAGGAAGAACACCGGUGGCGAAGGCGGCCCACUGGUCCGGUACUGACGCUGAGGUGCGAAAGCGUGGGGAGCAAACAGG
RNAcentral lists this ribosomal RNA (243 nucleotides) under uncultured bacterium. RNAcentral's name for it is "partial 16S ribosomal RNA". It matches the Rfam family "Bacterial small subunit ribosomal RNA", at positions 534 to 776 of the family's 1533-position model. The record is from RNAcentral.